This 460-nucleotide ribosomal RNA is filed under the name uncultured bacterium. Its description in RNAcentral is "partial 16S ribosomal RNA". It matches the Rfam family "Bacterial small subunit ribosomal RNA", at positions 338 to 795 of the family's 1533-position model. The record is from RNAcentral.
CCUACGGGGUGCAGCAGUGAGGAAUAUUGGUCAAUGGACGAGAGUCUGAACCAGCCAAGUAGCGUGAAGGAUGACUGCCCUAUGGGUUGUAAACUUCUUUUAUAUGGGAAUAAAACGUUCCACGUGUGGGAUUUUGUAUGUACCAUAUGAAUAAGGAUCGGCUAACUCCGUGCCAGCAGCCGCGGUAAUACGGGGGAUCCGAGCGUUAUCCGGAUUUAUUGGGUUUAAAGGGAGCGUAGGUGGAUUGUUAAGUCAGUUGUGAAAGUUUGCGGCUCAACCGUAAAAUUGCAGUUGAAACUGGCAGUCUUGAGUACAGUAGAGGUGGGCGGAAUUCGUGGUGUAGCGGUGAAAUGCUUAGAUAUCACGAAGAACUCCGAUUGCGAAGGCAGUUCACUGGACUGCAACUGACACUGAGGCUCGAAAGUGUGGGUAUCAAACAGGAUUAGAUACCCGAGUAGUC